CACUUGGUCUUCUCCCGACCAGCAGUAAAACGCUUGCUGAAGUGGGGCGUCCGUUUGGCUGUGCGGGAUGUAUCAAGUUCGCAGUCACGUCUGUCAGAAGGGGACGUUAAAUCCGAUGCCUCGUGUAAAGAGAGUGCCACGCUCUUUGCACGUUAAGAACCCUUGCAACAACUCUUUGAGGGGUCCGUAGGUGGCCUGUUACAAGGCAAAAUUUCUGUCCCUAUCCAAUAUACCCUCAUUUUCUAGUGGCAGUCCAAAUUUCCCCGACCAUCAUCCUAGAUGGCCUCUAUUACAACAACCUACCUAUUGUAUUUAUUGUGAACUUGUUCUCGUCCUGAAUAUGCAUGAAAUAUUUGCCACUGGACGUUAAGCAACCAACAAUCAAUCAACCAAUCCU
RNAcentral lists this long non-coding RNA (397 nucleotides) under Mytilus galloprovincialis (Mediterranean mussel). Lineage: Eukaryota; Metazoa; Mollusca; Bivalvia; Mytilida; Mytilidae. The record is from RNAcentral.